UACGGAGGGUGCAAGCGUUAUCCGGAUUCACUGGGUUUAAAGGGUGCGUAGGUGGGUUGAUAAGUCAGUGGUGAAAUCCCCGAGCUUAACUUGGGAACUGCCAUUGAUACUAUCAGUCUUGAAUACCGUGGAGGUCAGCGGAAUAUGUCAUGUAGCGGUGAAAUGCUUAGAUAUGACAUAGAACACCAAUUGCGAAGGCAGCUGGCUACACGAAUAUUGACACUCAGGCACGAAAGCGUGGGGAUCAAACAGG
Molecule: ribosomal RNA, 253 nt
Filed under: uncultured bacterium
Lineage: Bacteria
Description: partial 16S ribosomal RNA
Rfam family: Bacterial small subunit ribosomal RNA
Source: RNAcentral